CCUACGGGGGGCAGCAGUGGGGAAUAUUGCACAAUGGGCGCAAGCCUGAUGCAGCCAUGCCGCGUGUGUGAAGAAGGCCUUCGGGUUGUAAAGCACUUUCAGCGGGGAGGAAGGCGGUGAGGUUAAUAACCUCAUCGAUUGACGUUACCCGCAGAAGAAGCACCGGCUAACUCCGUGCCAGCAGCCGCGGUAAUACGGAGGGUGCAAGCGUUAAUCGGAAUUACUGGGCGUAAAGCGCACGCAGGCGGUCUGUCAAGUCGGAUGUGAAAUCCCCGGGCUCAACCUGGGAACUGCAUUCGAACCUGGCAGGCUAGAGUCUUGUAGAGGGGGGUAGAAUUCCAGGUGUAGCGGUGAAAUGCGUAGAGAUCUGGAGGAAUACCGGUGGCGAAGGCGGCCCCCUGGACAAAGACUGACGCUCAGGUGCGAAAGCGUGGGGGGCAAACAGGAUUAGAUACCCGUGUAGUC
Molecule: ribosomal RNA, 465 nt
Filed under: uncultured Klebsiella sp.
Lineage: Bacteria; Pseudomonadati; Pseudomonadota; Gammaproteobacteria; Enterobacterales; Enterobacteriaceae
Description: bacterial SSU rRNA
Rfam family: Bacterial small subunit ribosomal RNA
Source: RNAcentral